CAAAGAUUAUAACAAGUUUAAUUUUGGACCUCUCUCUUAUUUUGCUGCAUGCUGUUGAAGUGACUCCAGAUCAGCUCAGAAACCUACUGCUCCCCGGGAUCCACGUCUCUCAAUCCGAUGUAGACGAGAUCUUUGGCCGAGACACACGGCUUGAUCCAGGAGAAGUUUGGCAAGACGGGAACCUGGUGAGGAAGGAACAACAUUCAGCACCCGGUCUGCGUGAUGAGAAGAUACGCUCUGAAACAAACACGCAUCUCGUCUCAGGACUGACCUCUGAGUGCAGCUCGUGGAGGAGGUAGGACAUGGGCUGCCCGUGGAUGUUUCCGGUGGACGAGGUCAGCGGCGUGUUGAUGUCGGCGUGGGCGUCGACCCACA
Molecule: long non-coding RNA, 375 nt
Organism: Micropterus salmoides (largemouth bass)
Lineage: Eukaryota; Metazoa; Chordata; Actinopteri; Centrarchiformes; Centrarchidae
Exons: 2
Source: RefSeq, a predicted model, not a curated record